UGGUGGGGUGACUUGUCUGCUUAAUUGCGAUAACGAACGAGACCUUAACCUGCUAAAUAGCCCGCAUCGCUCCGGCAGUGCGCUGGCUUCUUAGAGGGACUUUCGGCUCAAGCCGAAGGAAGUUUGAGGCAAUAACA
RNAcentral lists this ribosomal RNA (137 nucleotides) under uncultured eukaryote. RNAcentral describes it as "partial 18S ribosomal RNA". It matches the Rfam family "Eukaryotic small subunit ribosomal RNA", at positions 1299 to 1458 of the family's 1831-position model. The record is from RNAcentral.